RNAcentral lists this ribosomal RNA (347 nucleotides) under uncultured bacterium. RNAcentral's name for it is "bacterial SSU rRNA". It matches the Rfam family "Bacterial small subunit ribosomal RNA", at positions 32 to 359 of the family's 1533-position model. The record is from RNAcentral.
AAUCAACGCUGGCGGCGUGCCUCGGACAUGCAAGUCGAACGAGAAGGCUCCUUCGGGAGCCGGAAAGUGGCGCACGGGUGAGUAACACGUGGGUAAUUUACCUUCGGGUGGGGAACGAACAGCCGGAAACGGCUGCUAAUACCGCAUAACGUAGCGGCACCUAAUGGUGACAGUUGUUAAAGCGGGGGAGUCGCAAGACCUCGCGCCUGAAGAGAAGCCUGCGGCAGAUUAGGUAGUUGGUGAGGUAAUGGCUCACCAAGCCCGCGAUCUGUAGCCGGCCUGAGAGGGCGGUCGGCCACACUGACACUGAACAACGGGUCAGACUCCUACGGGAGGCAGCAGUCGGG